UUUUUUUUUUUUGCAGUGACGAAAGGAAGUUUGAAAAUCACUAAUUUGGGAGUUGGGGACAUAAUGGUGGUAGGGCGCUUGUCUGCGAUGCUUGAGGCCCUGGGUUCCAUCCCUAGCACCAGGGAGAAAAAAUCGAUUAUGGCAACUCUUUCAUUUCAGGAAGAACAAUAACCCACAGAAGCUGCAACAACCCAAACACCUAAAGUCCUUUAGCAUUGUCAUAAUGCCCCUUCCAGCACACAGUCAGUGUAUUUGCACAGGAUGAUGUCAUCAGCCAAGAGAUGAACUCAGCCUUCAGGACACGUUCACUGUAACUGCCCAAUGAUUCACAGUGAUCCUCCUGCCUCAGCCUCCCAAGUGCUUGGAUUACAGGUGUGUGCUACUAUGCUCCGCUUGCCCAAGUCUUGUACAAGAAGGAAAACAUCAUUUGAAUCCAUACUCCUGGCCAAUGAAAAGGACACCAUGUUCUCUCUCGUUUGGUUUAAGCUGUCCCUCCCUGGAGGUUUGGACACAGACUCCCCUUCAGACCACAUCUGGGAAAGCAACGGCCAGCGAGCACCUGGAAGUUGGUCACAGUCUCACGGCUGAGUCGGAGCCUGAAGGAGCCCAGGUCUUCUGGCUCCCACUGCUGCUGAAUAAACAAGGGUCUUUCCUCCACCAGAA
Long non-coding RNA from Cavia porcellus (domestic guinea pig), 663 nucleotides. RefSeq lists it as uncharacterized. NCBI's taxonomy places the organism in Eukaryota, Metazoa, Chordata, Mammalia, Rodentia, Caviidae. The record is from RefSeq and is a predicted model, not a curated record. The transcript has 3 exons.